CAUCGCGGGAGGUCGGGGCGCCCCACGCGGGGCGGAGCGCGCGCGCCUCCUGCCGAGACGGGACCGGCCCUCCCUGGUGACCUUGACCGGUGUCACUCGGCGGCCGCGGCGACAGGCGACAGGAGCACCUAAUCCUAAGAAUCAAGGAUAAGAAAUCUUCAAGAGGAGAGAAGGAGUUAAAAUAUGGAAAGCAGAAAGAAGUCACAUUGGAAAGAAGGAAGGCAUGCGUGGGACCUGCUGGCAAGGCCUCAAAAGAAGUAAUUGAGUUUCUUGAAGGCUACAGAGUGGUCAAUGGACAGCCGGGUGUGUGGCCCCAGCCCUCGUCCCAGUCAGCCCUGUGUAGGCCAUCACUGCCGUCUUCAGAGACCUGCUUACCCUUUCUAUCAGCAUCAAUUUGUGUUUAUUGGCGUCCGGGACAGGAGCCAUGUGGUAUCCAUAAAAGGGAGAUAAACUAUCCCUGCUUCCUCCAAGAAGGGUCUAAGCUGCCCAGGCUGGACUAGCAGUUCUCCUGCCGUGGCCUCCCAGAGGGCUGAAAUUGUAGGUAUGCGCCACCACGUCCUGCUUUCUGAAUGCACAGUUGGAACUGAGAUACUUGGCAAUUGGAAUAAUAUGGCUCUUGAUCUGUGGAAUGAGAUGUUACAGUAGGAAAUUCUGACGAGGAGCCUGGUAACUACUCUUUUCUACUGAAAAGCAAGCCCAAAGCAAUACCACAUCCUGGGGGAGUUACAGGCAAUGCCAACAUGAAAGACUUGAAAAAUGCAGCGAUAGAGAUUUCUUUUUUUUUUUGGUCUUUUUGAGACAGGGUCU
Long non-coding RNA from Chinchilla lanigera (long-tailed chinchilla), 807 nucleotides. RefSeq lists it as uncharacterized. The record is from RefSeq and is a predicted model, not a curated record. The transcript is spliced from 3 exons. NCBI's taxonomy places the organism in Eukaryota, Metazoa, Chordata, Mammalia, Rodentia, Chinchillidae.